Molecule: ribosomal RNA, 420 nt
Filed under: Triticum aestivum (bread wheat)
Lineage: Eukaryota; Viridiplantae; Streptophyta; Magnoliopsida; Poales; Poaceae
Description: partial small subunit ribosomal RNA
Source: RNAcentral
UUGCUUAAAAUUGACUUGGCCAAGGCUUUUGAUCGCCUUGAAUGGAACUUCAUAGUCUCCGCUCUUUCUCGCAAAGGGUUGCAUGGUCAUUUUAUAAACUUGGUUUAUGCUUGCAUCUCUUCCCCAAGUUUCUCCGUCAUUAUCAAUGGUCAACCUUUCGCCAACUUCCGUAGUAACAGAGGUAUAAUACAAGGAUGUCCUUUCUCACCUUAUCUUUUUGUCCUUGCUAUUAAUGAACUUUACAUGAUGCUAUGGUCCAAAAUUGCUUGUCUGGGAUCUCUCUUGGUCCAGGCUGUCCUCCUAUUCACUCUAUGCUUUUUGCUGAUGAUUUGUUGGUCUGUGGCAAUGCUACGGUGCAAGAGGCUAACCAGAUGGCCAAUCUCAUCAACCGUUUCUGUUGUCUCUCUGGGCAGACUCUGA